GAUGAAGAACGUAGCGAAAUGCGAUAAGUAAUGCGAAUUGCAGAAUUCCGUGAGUCAUCGAAUCUUUGAACGCACAUUGCGCCCCCCGGUAUUCCGGGGGGCAUGCCUGUUCGAGCGUCAUUGUCAACCCUCAAGCUCGGCUUGCUGUUGGGUCCCCGUCGUUGCUCCAACGGCGGACCCGAAAGACAAUGGCAGAGUCCGCGGGACCCUGGAUGCAGCGAGCUUCUGGCACGCGUCUGGACGGUCUCUGGGCUUGGCCUCCACCAAUCGUCAACCUGUGAUUGACCUCGGAUCAGGUAGGGAUACCCGCUGAACUUAAGCAUAUCAAUAAGCGGAGGA
RNAcentral lists this unclassified non-coding RNA (339 nucleotides) under soil metagenome. RNAcentral describes it as "partial contains 5.8S ribosomal RNA, internal transcribed spacer 2, and large subunit ribosomal RNA". The stretch from base 1 to 120 matches the Rfam family "5.8S ribosomal RNA", at positions 35 to 154 of the family's 154-position model. The record is from RNAcentral.